Alexandromys fortis (reed vole) is the source of this 3033-nucleotide long non-coding RNA. RefSeq lists it as uncharacterized. Lineage: Eukaryota; Metazoa; Chordata; Mammalia; Rodentia; Cricetidae. The transcript is spliced from 6 exons. The record is from RefSeq and is a predicted model, not a curated record.
GGGCCCUUCUUUCUCCUCCUCCCUCCCUCCCUCCUCCCGCGCGGCGCUCGGGCUUGUGUUCCCGGGUUCCCUCCCCGGCGCGUCUUUCCCGGCCCGCCCGGUGCAUUGUGGGCUGACGUCUUGGUUUGGCUGUCUAGUGACGGAGGCUGCCGGGUCGGCUGGACCCUUGCGGCGUCUGUCGGUGGCGGGCUCAAGUUCAGGGAUGGGGACCCAGGCCGAGACCCGAGACGUGGGGAUCCAGAAAACUGGGGAGGCGCACUAGUGGCCCGGGGUGGAAGGCCUGGGAGGGGAGUGGAGUUGGCACAGACGCACGAGAGUGGAGGUGACGCGCACAGAUGCACACACACACACGCACACACACGUGUGAAGCGGCUGAGCGACCUGAGCUCCAGCAGGCUCUGCACCCCCGCACUUCCGGGAGGUAGCGGCGCGGGUUAAGAUGGUUGUGUGUGCCCCGGGAGUGCGAAAGUGGGUUGAAGUUGAACGGGCUUGAGAGUGUCCCUCCCACGUCUUGAGCACGCGUGGAAGUUUGCCUCUUGGUUAAGUUCCGGCGGGGGAUCUGCGCCGCCGUGUGCUGUACCUGGAAGCCAGAGAUUUGCGGUACUAGGAACCGGACUCCUCUGGGUCCUCGGCACAACACGUACCCUCUGGGGACAUGCGGGGAGGGGCUCGCUUUGCCUCGGAGGGACGCGUUUUCUAGAUGUGAAAUUAAGGUGUGACUCCCAGCACCCAUGGGGGGGGGGUGUCAAAACCAACAUUUAAGGGUUCAAAACUCGGGAAACCCCGGCGAUCGCCUGUGCUCGAGCGCACACACGGUCCCGCGCGCGCUCAGCUCGCGCCCGCCCUUUCCCCCUCCUAAUUUGCUUCUGGGAAAACAAGUCUUAAGAGCCGCCGCCGACUCGCCCGAAAGUCACGCUGCCUAAGCGGGAGUCCCUGGUAAGAAGCAGGCUAAACGCUCCCCUCCCCGCCCGCUGGUGGAGCUAUAUUCUCUGCGGCCUCUAGGAAGCGCUAGACACAUGCCAGCAGAGCCAAGUGCAGCCCUGAAUCAGCACACCCAGUGACCCAGGGCAUUAAAGAGCUGGAGAGAUGACUCAGCAGUUAAGAGCACCUGAGGCUCAUGCUAAGGACCCAGCCUUGUUUCUCAGCACCCACAAAGCAGCUCACGUCCAUAUGUAAUUUCAGUUCCAGGGAUUUUGACACUUUCUUCUGGUUUCCACAGAGACCAGACCGUAUUUAUGAGCAUCACCAAAUAGACGAUAGGGAUGGUGUUGACUUUUUCUAGACUAGUUUAUCAUCCCUUUGCUGGCCACAAAGUGCUGAGGGUAAAAUGAAGCCCGAGUAGAUGGAGUUGAAAACGGGGCUCAAGGCCUGAUUUCUCAUCAUAAGCUAAUAAAGAAUUAUCCUUUGAAGCUGGCAAAGUCGGCUUGACAGAGGCUGAGAAAGGAUGAGGCUCCUGAGUGAGACAGAGAAUAUGCUCAAAGAAAAGAGACACUGCACAGCCUCCACAAUCUUCUGGACUUCAUUAUCAGGAUAGGCGAUCAAUCCCAGAGGUCUGCUGUGGGCAUCAGUGAGCGUGCACAGAGGGGGUGCCAAGUUGGCAUCUGUCUUACCUGUGUGCUGAUUAUUCUAUGAGUCUCCUUGGAGGCCACUGCCAUCACCCCCACUGUGAUUUAAACAGGAAUGUCCCCCAUUGGCUCCCACAUUGGAGCGCUUGGUUUCCAGCUGGUGGUGCUGUUUGGAAAGGUCAUGGAGCCUUGAGGAGGUGGAGUCUUGUUGGAGUCACAAGAGUGAGCCUGGAGGUGGAGUCCUGUCUGUGCUCUGGAUUCUGACUGUAGAUCAGAAUCUGCCCUGAGUUCCUGCUGCCAGACCUUCCCUGCUGUGAUGGACUGAAUCCCUUUUCUACUGUGAGCCAGAAGACACUCUUCAUCGUUAAGUAGCUGCUGCCACAGCAAUGUGAAAAAUAAAUCUACAACUGUUAAACUUGUCAGAACAUGAGCUGUGGGUGCUGCAGUGGGUAGACAGGUCAGCCUGACUUUUGUUUUUUCUGCUUCCUGUGAUCCAAAUGUGGUGUGGGACAAUUCUGUAUUCUCUGAAUUAUGUUUUAAAUAAACACUGAUUGGCCAGUAGCCAAGCAGGAAGUAUAGGUGGGACAACCAGACGGGAAGUAGAGGUGGGGCAAUGAGAACAGGAGUAUUCUGGGAAGAAGGAAGUUCUUCCCACAGUCCUGUCUAGACAUCUAAGAAGAAAGAUGUAACCUACCCAGUUGAAAAAGGUACUAAGCCAUGUGGCUGAUAUAGAUAAGAAUAAUGGGUUAAUAUAAGUUACAAGAGUUAAUAAGAAGCCCGAGCUAAUGGGCCAAUCAGUUUAUAACUUAUGCAGACUGCUGUGUGAUUUUUUUGGGAUUUACCAGCUGUGGGAACUGGGCAGGACAAAAACCCCAACAAGCAGGCCCUCCUGUUACACAAAUGUGUAUUUCUUUUUUUUUUAAAUAUUUAUUUAUUUAUUAUGUAUACAAUAUUAUUGUCUGUGUGUAUGUCUGCAGGCCAGAAGAGGGCACCAGACCCCAUUACAGAUGGUUGUGAGCCACCAUGUGGUUGCUGGGAAUUGAACUCAGGACCUUUGGAAGAGCAGGCAAUGCUCUUAACCUCUGAGCCAUCUCUCCAGCCCCAAAUGUGUAUUUCUUAAAUUUGGAGAUAUUCACAUCAUACUUGUCAGGGGUUGACUUUAACCUUUAACCUUUGAGAGCUUAUUUUGACUGCACCACUUUCCAGCUUUACUCCUGACCUAAUAUUUCGGAGUCUAUUUUCGUAGGUGUCCCGUAAAAUGUAGCAUCAAACACUCAUGGCACUUGCUGUUUGCUAUUGCACGAUUAAAGAAGGGAGAAGCCAGGGGUUAUCUGAAGGUGUAGAAGUAUGAGACAAGGUCUUAACUCUGUAGGAGUUUAUACUAUGGCUUAUUAGCCACAGCAGAAUUCUAGACUGGUAGGCAAAGCGCAUGAUAUGACAAAGAUGGUCUGUGAAGACUCUACAGAGA